UACGGCCAUAUCACGUUGAAAUAACGGUUCCCAGGCGAUCACCGAAUUUAAGCAACGUCGAUUCUGGUCAGUACCUAGAUGAGUGACCGCUUGGAAUUAAUAGGUGCUGUAAG
Acanthosepion pharaonis is the source of this 113-nucleotide non-coding RNA. The record is from the annotation of a GenBank genome assembly. NCBI's taxonomy places the organism in Eukaryota, Metazoa, Mollusca, Cephalopoda, Sepiida, Sepiidae.